RNAcentral lists this ribosomal RNA (428 nucleotides) under uncultured archaeon. RNAcentral describes it as "bacterial SSU rRNA". It matches the Rfam family "Archaeal small subunit ribosomal RNA", at positions 474 to 903 of the family's 1478-position model. The record is from RNAcentral.
UACCAGCUCUUCGAGUGGUGUGGAUGUUUAUUGGGCCUAAAGCAUCCGUAGCUGGCUGGGCAAGUCCCCUGUUAAAUCCACCGAUUUAAUCGUUGGAGUGCGGGGGAUACUGUUCGGCUAGGGGACGGGAGAGGCAGACGGUAUUUUCGGGGUAGGGGUGAAAUCCUAUAAUCCCGAGAAGACCACCAGUGGCGAAGGCUGUCUGCUAGAACGCGCCCGACGGUGAGGGAUGAAAGCUGGGGGAGCGAACCGGAUUAGAUACCCGGGUAGUCCCAGCUGUAAACGAUGCAGGCUAGGUGUUUGGACGGCCACGUGCCGUUCUAGUGCCGCAGGGAAGCCGUUAAGCCUGCCGCCUGGGGAGUACGGCCGCAAGGCUGAAACUUAAAGGAAUUGGCGGGGAGCACCACAAGGGGUGAAGCUUGCGAUUU